Molecule: long non-coding RNA, 926 nt
Organism: Ictidomys tridecemlineatus (thirteen-lined ground squirrel)
Lineage: Eukaryota; Metazoa; Chordata; Mammalia; Rodentia; Sciuridae
Source: RefSeq, a predicted model, not a curated record
UGAAACCAACAAAUAUCGAAUAUACUUGCUUCUCCGCACCCAAGGCCUGGACUGAGCAGGCUCAGCGCUAUGGGAUCGCAGCGGGAGUACCCGGUCCUUGCGUGGUCACCAGCUGCAGCCUCUUUCUUCGCUAUUUGCUGGGUUAAAACGCUUCUCUCUCACUUCCCUCCUUUUCGCCCCUGGAUCUGAGAAAUAAAUCCAAGUCUCCUACUGCAUCAGCCCUCCCCAUCGCUGCUAUCUCACUUCUCCUUACCGAAGAUAGUCUCUUUGUUUUCUGAAGGAAACCGUAAUAUUCAGACAUUUGAGAGAAUCCAGUGUUUACAAGAUGAGAAAUGCCACUGCCAGCGUCCUUCUGGAGAGAAAGGCUGAAAUGGAGGACCGACGCCUUCCUUAUAAGCUCAUUGGACCCUGAGCCAGCACCGACCUGGUAGAAAAAGCAACCUCGAAGCCAGAGAGAAAGAGAGAGCCAGAGGAGGGAAGAGAGCGCCAGACUGAGAUGAAAGGGAACCACGCAGAGAAACGCUGGGAAAGGAACGAGACGGCAGGUCCCCGGAACAAACGUGGCAGAGGGCAAGACAAGCACUCAAUGGCUCGCGGACAGAGGUUUAUAUAUUUUUAUUUUUAAAGUCUCAUUUUGGGCCCGAUGAAGAAAAGGGAGAAUUCAGGGAAGGAGAGAGGAAAGAGUCCUAGCUCACAGCAUGAACGCCCAAGAAGGAAAGAGCGCUGGAUAAACCCGAGUGGGCGCCAGGGCAGCUCCGGCUCCAGGCAGGCGUCGUCCCACACGCAGCUCAGCUCGCGACCGGGGCCCUCCAAGCCGCACCCUGCCCGCCCCGCGGUGGCUGCCGCAGCUUCCUUGCACUUCUUAUCAUCUCCAUCUUUAUGGUGAGGCUUGUUAACAAGACCAGCGAGCUGGCCACUCACAUCUA